Molecule: small RNA, 674 nt
Filed under: Pan troglodytes (chimpanzee)
Lineage: Eukaryota; Metazoa; Chordata; Mammalia; Primates; Hominidae
Description: retained intron
Source: RNAcentral
GUUGAUGAGGAUUCUUGGGGUCAACAAUGGAACAGUUUAUUUUCCUUGGAAAAAAACUGGAAUAACCCAUAACACUUGGGUUUCCAGUUGUCUAUUUUGCCAAAGCCUUUUCCUUUUUUUGUUUCUAAUGCGAAAUCAUCAUUGUUUUCUAAGUAUCUGUGGAGGGAAUGACUUGAGAGUGAAGAGUGUGAAGUUUGCCGCUGUGGUCACUGUCCUUGGUUUCUGUGUCUGGGUUAGUGUCACUGACCUGUAGCUUUGGCCCUGCAGACCGGGGAGCUCUGCACAAAGCCAUCAGCCUCGAGCACGCUGUUCACAUCAUCGAGGAGACCCAGCUCUUCCAGGACUUUGAGCCAGUCCAGACCCUGCUGCUGUCUUCAAAGAAGGGCAACAGGUUUGUCUAUGCUGGCUCCAACUCGGGCGUGGUCCAGGCCCCGCUGGCCUUCUGUGGGAAGCACGGCACCUGCGAGGACUGUGUGCUGGCGCGGGACCCCUACUGCGCCUGGAACCCGCCCACAGCGACCUGCGUGGCUCUGCACCAGACCGAGAGCCCCAGCAGGUAUGGGGCGGGAUGCGCUGCCUGGGGAUGUCCCCCAUGUGUGUGGGUGAAUAACACGUGCCGGUUGUUUUGCAGGGGUUUGAUUCAGGAGAUGAGCGGCGAUGCUUCUGUGUGCCCG